AUACGUAAGUGGCAAGCGUUAUCCGGAUUUACUGGGUGUAAAGGGCGCGUAGGCGGGGGUGCAAGUCAGAUGUGAAAUCUAUGGGCUUAACUCAUAAACUGCAUUUGAAACUGUAUCUCUUGAGUGCUGGAGAGGUAGACGGAAUUCCUUGUGUAGCGGUGAAAUGCGUAGAUAUAAGGAAGAACACCAGUGGCGAAGGCGGUCUACUGGACAGUAACUGACGCUGAGGCGCGAAAGCGUGGGGAGCAAACAGGAUUAGAUACCCUGGUAGUCCACGCUGUAAACGAUGAAUACUAGGUGUGGGGGGACUGACCCCCUCCGUGCCGCAGUUAACACAAUAAGUAUUCCACCUGGGGAGUACGUUCGCAAGAAUGAAACUCAAAGGAAUUGGCGGGG
This 396-nucleotide ribosomal RNA is filed under the name uncultured bacterium. RNAcentral describes it as "partial 16S ribosomal RNA". It matches the Rfam family "Bacterial small subunit ribosomal RNA", at positions 523 to 918 of the family's 1533-position model. The record is from RNAcentral.